RNAcentral lists this ribosomal RNA (301 nucleotides) under uncultured bacterium. Its description in RNAcentral is "partial 16S ribosomal RNA". It matches the Rfam family "Bacterial small subunit ribosomal RNA", at positions 509 to 807 of the family's 1533-position model. The record is from RNAcentral.
CAGUCGCCGCGGUAAUACGGAGGGCGCGAGCGUUACCCGGAUUUACUGGGCGUAAAGGGCGUGUAGGCGGCCUGGGGCGUCCCAUGUGAAAGGCCACGGCUCAACCGUGGAGGAGCGUGGGAUACGCUCAGGCUAGAGGGUGGGAGAGGGUGGUGGAAUUCCCGGAGUAGCGGUGAAAUGCGCAGAUACCGGGAGGAACGCCGAUGGCGAAGGCAGCCACCUGGUCCACUUCUGACGCUGAGGCGCGAAAGCGUGGGGAGCAAACCGGAUUAGAUACCCCAGUAGUCCCUGUCUCUUAUAC